UGGGGAAUAUUGGACAAUGGGCGAAAGCCUGAUCCAGCCAUGCCGCGUGUGUGAAGAAGGUCUUCGGAUUGUAAAGCACUUUAAGUUGGGAGGAAGGGCAUUAACCUAAUACGUUAGUGUUUUGACGUUACCGACAGAAUAAGCACCGGCUAACUCUGUGCCAGCAGCCGCGGUAAUACAGAGGGUGCAAGCGUUAAUCGGAUUUACUGGGCGUAAAGCGCGCGUAGGUGGCCAAUUAAGUCAAAUGUGAAAUCCCCGAGCUUAACUUGGGAAUUGCAUUCGAUACUGGUUGGCUAGAGUAUGGGAGAGGAUGGUAGAAUUCCAGGUGUAGCGGUGAAAUGCGUAGAGAUCUGGAGGAAUACCGAUGGCGAAGGCAGCCAUCUGGCCUAAUACUGACACUGAGGUGCGAAAGCAUGGGGAGCAAACAGGAUUAGAUACCCUGGUAGUCCAUGCCGUAAACGAUGUCUACUAGCCGUUGGGGCCUUUGAGGCUUUAGUGGCGCAGCUAACGCGAUAAGUAGACCGCCUGGGGAGUACGGCCGCAAGGUUA
This 549-nucleotide ribosomal RNA is filed under the name uncultured bacterium. RNAcentral's name for it is "bacterial SSU rRNA". It matches the Rfam family "Bacterial small subunit ribosomal RNA", at positions 355 to 896 of the family's 1533-position model. The record is from RNAcentral.